CAGCCGCCGCGGGAAUACGGAGGGCGCGAGCGUUACCCGGAUUUACUGGGCGUAAAGGGCGUGUAGGCGGCCUGGGGCGUCCCAUGUGAAAGGCCACGGCUCAACCGUGGGGGAGCGUGGGAUACGCUCAGGCUAGAGGGUGGGAGAGGGUGGUGGAAUUCCCGGAGUAGCGGUGAAAUGCGCAGAUACCGGGAGGAACGCCGAUGGCGAAGGCAGCCACCUGGUCCACUUCUGACGCUGAGGCGCGAAAGCGUGGGGAGCAAACCGGAUUAGAUACCCCAGUAGUCCCUGUCUCUUAUAC
This 301-nucleotide ribosomal RNA is filed under the name uncultured bacterium. RNAcentral's name for it is "partial 16S ribosomal RNA". It matches the Rfam family "Bacterial small subunit ribosomal RNA", at positions 509 to 807 of the family's 1533-position model. The record is from RNAcentral.